RNAcentral lists this ribosomal RNA (465 nucleotides) under uncultured bacterium. Its description in RNAcentral is "partial 16S ribosomal RNA". It matches the Rfam family "Bacterial small subunit ribosomal RNA", at positions 28 to 507 of the family's 1533-position model. The record is from RNAcentral.
GACGAACGCUGGCGGCGUGCUUAACACAUGCAAGUCGAACGGUGAACUCCGCUUGCGGGGGGAUCAGUGGCGCACGGGUGAGUAACACGUGGGCAACCUGCCCUCAGCUCUGGGAUAACUCCAAGAAAUUGGGGCUAAUACCGGAUAUGACCGCUGACCGCAUGGUCUGGUGGUGGAAAGAUUUAUCGGCUGGGGAUGGGCCCGCGGCCUAUCAGCUUGUUUGUGGGGUAGUGGCCUACCAAGGCGACGACGGGUAGCCGGCCUGAGAGGGUGACCGGCCAAACUGGGACUGAGACACGGCCCAGACUCCUACGGGAGGAAGCAGUGGGGAAUAUUGCGCAAUGGGCGAAAGCCUGACGCAGCGACGCCGCGUGGGGGAUGACGGCCUUCGGGUUGUAAACCUCUUUCAGCAGGGACGAAGCGAAAGUGACGGUACCUGCAGAAGAAGCACCGGCCAACUACGUG